RNAcentral lists this ribosomal RNA (430 nucleotides) under Pseudomonadota bacterium. Its description in RNAcentral is "Proteobacteria bacterium partial 16S ribosomal RNA". It matches the Rfam family "Bacterial small subunit ribosomal RNA", at positions 355 to 776 of the family's 1533-position model. Lineage: Bacteria; Pseudomonadati; Pseudomonadota. The record is from RNAcentral.
UGGGGAAUAUUGGACAAUGGGCGAAAGCCUGAUCCAGCCAUGCCGCGUGUGUGAAGAAGGCCUUUUGGUUGUAAAGCACUUUAAGCGAGGAGGAGGCUACUAGUACUAAUACUACUGGAUAGUGGACGCUACUCGCAGAAUAAGCACCGGCUAACUCUGUGCCAGCAGCCGCGGUAAUACAGAGGGUGCGAGCGUUAAUCGGAUUUACUGGGCGUAAAGCGUGCGUAGGCGGCUAAUUGAGUCGGAUGUGAAAUCCCCGAGCUUAACUUGGGAAUUGCAUUCGAUACUGGUUAGCUAGAGUGUGGGAGAGGAUGGUAGAAUUCCAGGUGUAGCGGUGAAAUGCGUAGAGAUCUGGAGGAAUACCGAUGGCGAAGGCAGCCAUCUGGCCUAACACUGACGCUGAGGUACGAAAGCAUGGGGAGCAAACAGG